AUUUAUAUAGUUUAAUUAAAACAUUAUAAUUUCAGUAUAAAAUUGAAUAUAAUUCUGUAAAUA
RNAcentral lists this transfer RNA (63 nucleotides) under Agasicles hygrophila. Its description in RNAcentral is "tRNA-Glu". The record is from RNAcentral. Lineage: Eukaryota; Metazoa; Arthropoda; Insecta; Coleoptera; Chrysomelidae.